This 1671-nucleotide ribosomal RNA is filed under the name Salmonella enterica subsp. enterica serovar Kottbus. RNAcentral describes it as "partial 23S ribosomal RNA". It matches the Rfam family "Bacterial large subunit ribosomal RNA", at positions 583 to 2238 of the family's 2925-position model. The record is from RNAcentral. Lineage: Bacteria; Pseudomonadati; Pseudomonadota; Gammaproteobacteria; Enterobacterales; Enterobacteriaceae.
CUUUGGGGUGUGACUGCGUACCUUUUGUAUAAUGGGUCAGCGACUUAUAUUCUGUAGCAAGGUUAACCGUAUAGGGGAGCCGGAGGGAAACCGAGUCUUAAUUGGGCGUUAAGUUGCAGGGUAUAGACCCGAAACCCGGUGAUCUAGCCAUGGGCAGGUUGAAGGUUGGGUAACACUAACUGGAGGACCGAACCGACUAAUGUUGAAAAAUUAGCGGAUGACCUGUGGCUGGGGGUGAAAGGCCAAUCAAACCGGGAGAUAGCUGGUUCUCCCCGAAAGCUAUUUAGGUAGCGCCUCGUGAAUUCAUCUCCGGGGGUAGAGCACUGUUUCGGCUAGGGGGCCAUCCCGGCUUACCAACCCGAUGCAAACUGCGAAUACCGGAGAAUGUUAUCACGGGAGACACACGGCGGGUGCUAACGUCCGUCGUGAAGAGGGAAACAACCCAGACCGCCAGCUAAGGUCCCAAAGUCAUGGUUAAGUGGGAAACGAUGUGGGAAGGCCCAGACAGCCAGGAUGUUGGCUUAGAAGCAGCCAUCAUUUAAAGAAAGCGUAAUAGCUCACUGGUCGAGUCGGCCUGCGCGGAAGAUGUAACGGGGCUAAACCAUGCACCGAAGCUGCGGCAGCGACGCUUAUGCGUUGUUGGGUAGGGGAGCGUUCUGUAAGCCUGUGAAGGUGGCCUGUGAGGGUUGCUGGAGGUAUCAGAAGUGCGAAUGCUGACAUAAGUAACGAUAAAGCGGGUGAAAAGCCCGCUCGCCGGAAGACCAAGGGUUCCUGUCCAACGUUAAUCGGGGCAGGGUGAGUCGACCCCUAAGGCGAGGCCGAAAGGCGUAGUCGAUGGGAAACGGGUUAAUAUUCCCGUACUUGGUGUUACUGCGAAGGGGGGACGGAGAAGGCUAUGUUGGCCGGGCGACGGUUGUCCCGGUUUAAGCGUGUAGGUGUGUGUUCCAGGUAAAUCCGGUUCACUUUAACACUGAGGCGUGACGACGAGGCACUACGGUGCUGAAGCAACAAAUGCCCUGCUUCCAGGAAAAGCCUCUAAGCAUCAGGUAACAUCAAAUCGUACCCCAAACCGACACAGGUGGUCAGGUAGAGAAUACCAAGGCGCUUGAGAGAACUCGGGUGAAGGAACUAGGCAAAAUGGUGCCGUAACUUCGGGAGAAGGCACGCUGACACGUAGGUGAAGUGAUUUACUCACGGAGCUGAAGUCAGUCGAAGAUACCAGCUGGCUGCAACUGUUUAUUAAAAACACAGCACUGUGCAAACACGAAAGUGGACGUAUACGGUGUGACGCCUGCCCGGUGCCGGAAGGUUAAUUGAUGGGGUCAGCGCAAGCGAAGCUCCUGAUCGAAGCCCCGGUAAACGGCGGCCGUAACUAUAACGGUCCUAAGGUAGCGAAAUUCCUUGUCGGGUAAGUUCCGACCUGCACGAAUGGCGUAAUGAUGGCCAGGCUGUCUCCACCCGAGACUCAGUGAAAUUGAACUCGCUGUGAAGAUGCAGUGUACCCGCGGCAAGACGGAAAGACCCCGUGAACCUUUACUAUAGCUUGACACUGAACAUUGAGCCUUGAUGUGUAGGAUAGGUGGGAGGCUUUGAAGUGUGGACGCCAGUCUGCAUGGAGCCGACCUUGAAAUACCACCCUUUAAUGUUUGAUGUUCUAACGUGGACCCGUUA